GGUUAAGUUAGAAAGGGCGCACGGUGGAUGCCUUGACACUAGGAGUCGAUGAAGGACGGGACUAACGCCGAUAUGCUUCGGGGAGCUGUAAGUAAGCUUUGAUCCGAAGAUUUCCGAAUGGGGAAACCCACCAUACGUAAUGGUAUGGUAUCCUUAUCUGAAUACAUAGGGUAAGGAAGACAGACCCAGGGAACUGAAACAUCUAAGUACCUGGAGGAAGAGAAAGCAAAUGCGAUUUCCUGAGUAGCGGCGAGCGAAACGGAACAUAGCCCAAACCAAGAGGCUUGCCUCUUGGGGUUGUAGGACAUUCUAUACGGAGUUACAAAGGAACGAGGUAGACGAAGCGACCUGGAAAGGUCCGUCGUAGAGGGUAACAACCCCGUAGUCGAAACUUCGUUCUCUCUUGAAUGUAUCCUGAGUACGGCGGAACACGUGAAAUUCCGUCGGAAUCUGGGAGGACCAUCUCCCAAGGCUAAAUACUCCCUAGUGAUCGAUAGUGAACCAGUACCGUGAGGGAAAGGUGAAAAGCACCCCGGAAGGGGAGUGAAAGAGAUCCUGAAACCGUGUGCCUACAAAUAGUCAGAGCCCGUUAACGGGUGAUGGCGUGCCUUUUGUAGAAUGAACCGGCGAGUUACGAUCCCGUGCGAGGUUAAGCUGAAGAGGCGGAGCCGCAGCGAAAGCGAGUCUGAAUAGGGCGUUUAGUACGUGGUCGUAGACCCGAAACCAGGUGAUCUACCCAUGUCCAGGGUGAAGUUCAGGUAACACUGAAUGGAGGCCCGAACCCACGCACGUUGAAAAGUGCGGGGAUGAGGUGUGGGUAGCGGAGAAAUUCCAAUCGAACCUGGAGAUAGCUGGUUCUCCCCGAAAUAGCUUUAGGGCUAGCCUUAAGUGUAAGAGUCUUGGAGGUAGAGCACUGAUUGGACUAGGGGUCCUCAUCGGAUUACCGAAUUCAGUCAAACUCCGAAUGCCAAUGACUUAUCCUUAGGAGUCAGACUGCGAGUGAUAAGAUCCGUAGUCAAAAGGGAAACAGCCCAGACCGCCAGCUAAGGUCCCAAAGUGUGUAUUAAGUGGAAAAGGAUGUGGAGUUGCUUAGACAACUAGGAUGUUGGCUUAGAAGCAGCCACCAUUUAAAGAGUGCGUAAUAGCUCACUAGUCGAGUGACUCUGCGCCGAAAAUGUACCGGGGCUAAAUACACCACCGAAGCUGCGGAUUGAUACCAAUGGUAUCAGUGGUAGGGGAGCGUUCUAAGGACAGUGAAGUCAGACCGGAAGGACUGGUGGAGUGCUUAGAAGUGAGAAUGCCGGUAUGAGUAGCGAAAGACGGGUGAGAAUCCCGUCCACCGAAUGCCUAAGGUUUCCUGAGGAAGGCUCGUCCGCUCAGGGUUAGUCAGGACCUAAGCCGAGGCCGACAGGCGUAGGCGAUGGACAACAGGUUGAUAUUCCUGUACCACCUCUUUAUCGUUUGAGCAAUGGAGGGACGCAGAAGGAUAGAAGAAGCGUGCGAUUGGUUGUGCACGUCCAAGCAGUUAGGCUGAUAAGUAGGCAAAUCCGCUUAUCGUGAAGGCUGAGCUGUGAUGGGGAAGCUCCUUAUGGAGCGAAGUCUUUGAUUCCCCGCUGCCAAGAAAAGCUUCUAGCGAGAUAAAAGGUGCCUGUACCGCAAACCGACACAGGUAGGCGAGGAGAGAAUCCUAAGGUGUGCGAGAGAACUCUGGUUAAGGAACUCGGCAAAAUGACCCCGUAACUUCGGGAGAAGGGGUGCUUUCUUAACGGAAAGCCGCAGUGAAUAGGCCCAAGCGACUGUUUAGCAAAAACACAGCUCUCUGCGAAGCCGUAAGGCGAAGUAUAGGGGGUGACACCUGCCCGGUGCUGGAAGGUUAAGGAGAGGGGUUAGCGUAAGCGAAGCUCUGAACUGAAGCCCCAGUAAACGGCGGCCGUAACUAUAACGGUCCUAAGGUAGCGAAAUUCCUUGUCGGGUAAGUUCCGACCCGCACGAAAGGUGUAACGAUUUGGGCACUGUCUCAACCAGAGACUCGGUGAAAUUAUAGUACCUGUGAAGAUGCAGGUUACCCGCGACAGGACGGAAAGACCCCGUGGAGCUUUACUGUAGCCUGAUAUUGAAUUUUGGUACAGUUUGUACAGGAUAGGCGGGAGCCAUGGAAACCGGAGCGCUAGCUUCGGUGGAGGCGCUGGUGGGAUACCGCCCUGACUGUAUUGAAAUUCUAACCUACGGGUCUUAUCGACCCGGGAGACAGUGUCAGGUGGGCAGUUUGACUGGGGCGGUCGCCUCCUAAAGUGUAACGGAGGCGCCCAAAGGUUCCCUCAGAAUGGUUGGAAAUCAUUCGUAGAGUGCAAAGGCAUAAGGGAGCUUGACUGCGAGACCUACAAGUCGAGCAGGGACGAAAGUCGGGCUUAGUGAUCCGGUGGUUCCGCAUGGAAGGGCCAUCGCUCAACGGAUAAAAGCUACCCCGGGGAUAACAGGCUUAUCUCCCCCAAGAGUCCACAUCGACGGGGAGGUUUGGCACCUCGAUGUCGGCUCAUCGCAUCCUGGGGCUGUAGUCGGUCCCAAGGGUUGGGCUGUUCGCCCAUUAAAGCGGUACGCGAGCUGGGUUCAGAACGUCGUGAGACAGUUCGGUCCCUAUCCGUCGUGGGCGUAGGAAAUUUGAGAGGAGCUGUCCUUAGUACGAGAGGACCGGGAUGGACGCACCGCUGGUGUACCAGUUGUUCUGCCAAGGGCAUAGCUGGGUAGCUAUGUGCGGAAGGGAUAAGUGCUGAAAGCAUCUAAGCAUGAAGCCCCCCUCAAGAUGAGAUUUCCCAUAGCGUAAGCUAGUAAGAUCCCUGAAAGAUGAUCAGGUUGAUAGGUUCGAGGUGGAAGCAUGGUGACAUGUGGAGCUGACGAAUACUAAUAGAUCGAGGACUUAACCAU
Molecule: ribosomal RNA, 2922 nt
Filed under: Bacillus cereus
Lineage: Bacteria; Bacillati; Bacillota; Bacilli; Caryophanales; Bacillaceae
Description: 23S ribosomal RNA
Rfam family: Bacterial large subunit ribosomal RNA
Source: RNAcentral